AGAAGGAGCCUGAGAAACGGCUACUACAUCUAAGGAAGGCAGCAGGCGCGUAAAUUACCCAAUCCUGACUCAGGGAGGUAGUGACAAGAUAUAACGACGCGAUUUAAAGUAGCGAUUGUAGUGAGGGUAUUCCAAAUUGAACCACUAGUACGAUUGGAGGGCAAGUCUGGUGCCAGCAGCCGCGGUAAUUCCAGCUCCAAUAGCGUAUAUUAAAGUUGUUGCAGUUAAAAAGCUCGUAGAUGGAUUUCAAGGGUCGCGACGUGGACACACGUUUGCUCCCUACCAGUCUUUGACUGUUACUGUGAGAAAAUUAGAGUGUUUCAAGCAGGCUGUUGCAGGAAUACAUUAGCAUGGAAUAACGAAUGUGUCUAGAAUCGUGGUUAGUUCUAGAUUACGAUCAAUAGGGACAGUUGGGGGCACUAGUAUUUAAUUGUCAGAGGUGAAAUUCUAGGAUUUGUUAAAGACUAACGUAUGCGAAAGCAUUUGCCAAGGAUGUUUUCA
This 501-nucleotide ribosomal RNA is filed under the name uncultured ciliate. RNAcentral's name for it is "SSU rRNA". It matches the Rfam family "Eukaryotic small subunit ribosomal RNA", at positions 387 to 972 of the family's 1831-position model. The record is from RNAcentral. Lineage: Eukaryota; Ciliophora.